CCUCUCUCUCUCUCACUCUCUCUCCCUCUCUCGUAUUCUCUCCUCAGUACCUGUAGUGAGGGGGCUUGUAAGGACCCUCAAUGGGGACGCUAAUGUAGUCAGCUUGAUCCUUGGUGAGCUUGGUGAGGUUAGCCCCAAGCUUUCCAAGGUGAAGAGCAGCCACCUUCUCAUCAAGGUGCUUAGGCAAAACGUACACCUUCUUCUCGUACUUGCCUGUUGCCUUCUCCUUCCACAGCUCCAGCUGGGCGAUCACCUGGUUAGUGAACGAGCAUGACAUGACAAAGCUAGGGUGGCCAGUAGCACAACCCAAGUUCAUGAGACG
Molecule: long non-coding RNA, 322 nt
Filed under: Gossypium barbadense (sea-island cotton)
Lineage: Eukaryota; Viridiplantae; Streptophyta; Magnoliopsida; Malvales; Malvaceae
Description: long non-coding RNA (GBAR_LNC009239)
Source: RNAcentral